Molecule: ribosomal RNA, 253 nt
Filed under: uncultured bacterium
Lineage: Bacteria
Description: partial 16S ribosomal RNA
Rfam family: Bacterial small subunit ribosomal RNA
Source: RNAcentral
UACGGAGGAUCCAAGCGUUAUCCGGAUUUAUUGGGUUUAAAGGGUGCGUAGGCGGAUUGAUAAGUUAGAGGUGAAAUGUCCGAGCUCAACUCGGGAACUGCCUCUAAUACUGUUGAUCUAGAGAGUGGAUGCGGUAGGCGGAAUGUAUGGUGUAGCGGUGAAAUGCUUAGAGAUCAUACAGAACACCGAUUGCGAAGGCAGCUUACCAAUCUAUAUCUGACGUUGAGGCUCGAAAGCGUGGGGAGCAAACAGG